GGGCCCGUAGCUCAAACUGGGAAAGCGCUGCCCUUGCAAGGCAAAGGCCCCGGGUUCAAAUCCCGGUGGGUCCA
Molecule: transfer RNA, 74 nt
Filed under: Methanobrevibacter olleyae
Lineage: Archaea; Methanobacteriati; Methanobacteriota; Methanobacteria; Methanobacteriales; Methanobacteriaceae
Description: tRNA-Ala
Rfam family: tRNA
About the family: Transfer RNA (tRNA) molecules are approximately 80 nucleotides in length. Their secondary structure includes four short double-helical elements and three loops (D, anti-codon, and T loops).
Source: RNAcentral